CCCCUAGAUGUUCUGGGCCGCACGCGCGCUACACUGAACAGUUCAACAAGUCUUAACCUUGGCCGAAAGGUCUGGGUAAUCUUUGAACGCUGUUCGUGAUUGGGAUAGACCUUUGCAAUUAUGGGUCUUCAACGAGGAAUUCCUAGUAAACGCAAGUCAUCAGCUUGCAUUGAUUACGUCCCUGCCCUUUGUACACACCGCCCGUCGCACCUACCGAUUGAAUGGUCCGGUGAAAUCUCGGGACGGCGGCUCGGUCGCUUGCGUCCGACUGCUGAAACUUGAUUAAACCAUAUCAUUUAGAGGAAGGUGAAGUCGUANCA
This 320-nucleotide ribosomal RNA is filed under the name uncultured eukaryote. Its description in RNAcentral is "partial 18S ribosomal RNA". It matches the Rfam family "Eukaryotic small subunit ribosomal RNA", at positions 1470 to 1796 of the family's 1831-position model. The record is from RNAcentral.